This is a long non-coding RNA of Peromyscus californicus insignis, 3418 nucleotides long. RefSeq lists it as uncharacterized. NCBI's taxonomy places the organism in Eukaryota, Metazoa, Chordata, Mammalia, Rodentia, Cricetidae. The record is from RefSeq and is a predicted model, not a curated record. The transcript is spliced from 4 exons.
AAAAAAAAAAGAAGAAGAAGACAAAUGCCCUGAUGGAAAUGUCAAAGGCGGUUACAGCCAAGAGGAGAGAUCUCUCUGUUCUAGGCCUCAGAUGCUGUCUGAUGAGACUCAGCCUUUUGCCUGAUGGAAGCUGGUGGUCUGCUUAGUGAAUACAUCCCCAAAGGUUUUUAUUCUUAGUCCCAAGAUAACACAGAGGUCACAUUUUCAGACUCGGCUAUUUUCUAGCGUGCUAGUCGCUAUGAGACGCUCUCACAGGCAAAGUGACAUUUGUCGUACUCCCAGUGAAGCUGACUCCCUGGCUUUAUACAUUUGCAAUUCCUUUGGUGAAUAACACAUCAAAAAGCCAGCCAGCUCCCCUUCUACACCUGGACCAUGACUCAUUGAAAUGCUGGAGACUCUAGGCCUCUGGUGCCCCGUGGAUAAAUGAGACCAGCAAAGAAUUCCAGAGAAUCGAGAGUGAAUUCUUCAAGAACCCAUGUGAAAAAUCCAGGUGUCGUGGUGUACCUUUGCAAUCCCAGCGCUGGAGACAGGUGGAUCCCUGGGGCUCACUUGUCAGCCAACCUACCCCGUCACGAAAACCAAGAUGGACGGCUUCCUGAGGAGCAACCUCUGGCCUCCACACACAGGUUGUUUGUUAAAAAAACGGUGUGAGAUCGCACAGAGCUGACCCUGAGAUGCCUCAGCCUGCAGUUGGAAAGGGGACUCUACGUCAAGACCCACAGGCCUGGAAACAGGCUAAUGACUUGUGCAAUUCUACGUGGAGUGAUUGGUUACCCAGCAGUAGCUCACUCAUGAGCAAAUCUUGAUCUCUACUUUCUCCAGUAGCUUUUUACCCCAGGUAAACCUGGUGGAGAAACACACAGGUUGUAACAUGAAUGUUAUAAUGGGCAGACACGUAUUUAUCAGUCUAUGCAUUUCAAAUCUAAUUAAAGGGCUAGAAACUAUUUAAAAAAAUCUCAAUUCUAAUUACUGAUAAUGAAAAUUGAUGAAUGAGGUGAAAUAUAUAAUAGUUAAGUGAGUACACACACACACACACACACACACACACACACACACACACACACACACGAUGGAAUUGAAGAGAAUAAACUUGAACACAUAAAGACAUACAUCUUCCAACAUGAAAGACAAGAAAGUUUAUAGUCAGAGAUGCAUGGAAGUAAAUUCUGCAACCAUUCCAGAGAGAGACUCAGAAGAAAUGGAAAUUGGGAUGUUUGAAAAAAAUAAUACCCAAAAAAUGUUCCACUUGAAUGAAAAUAAUAAAUUCCAAAUCUAAAAAGACUAAUGUACUUGAAGUUCAAAAAGCAUGAAAUCUUUAUGAGGCUCAUCAUAAUGAAGUCUGAACCAGCCAUAAAAAAGAAAAAACAUGGAAUCAACUGGCUGGUGUCCUCAUGUAUGUUCCCCUGGACAGAGUGACAGCAGAUUUAUCACUGAAAUAUUGCAAACAAAAAAGCACUGAAACCAAAUCCAACAGUACUGAAAGCUACAAAGUAAACCAAAUAAACUUGGCACACAGAAUUCUACCCAGUCAAUGUCUCCCCCAAACUAACACACUAUAAACUAUUCCAGGCGUACAAACUAAUUUAUAAACAGAAGGCAUUGCUACAAGAUUUAUUUUUUGAGUUCAUUUUUUUCUGAUUUUUUUGUUAAUUAAAAAUAAUUAUAUUUAUGGGACAUUGUGUUAUGUUUUUGUCUGUAUUUACCAUGGAAAAAUAAUUAAAUCAGAUGGAUAAACAAGUGCAUGACAUUGACGUCAUAUACUGAAGUGUUUGUGGUAGAUGGAGAGAAGUCUCAGCCAUGAAGAGUGCUAGCUGCUCUUUCCAGAGGACCUGAGUUCAAUUUUCAGAAUCCACAUCAGGUGGCUCACCAUUCCAUCUCAAGGGCAUCUGAAUCCCAGCCCUCCUCUCCUCUCUUUGAGCAUCCCCCUUCCCACUGUGCACGGACACACACACACACACACACACACACACACACACAAUUAAAAAUAAAAUAAACCUUUAAAAUAAAAAGAAACUGAUAAAAUUCUACUAAGACUUGUAAUUUAUAAUAACAUACUGAUGUUGAUGUUUGUGUUGAUCGUUACAUCUUGGUUGUGUUAGGUGAGACACAGAUGGAACUGUCUUACAUUUUGAGGCUAAAUCUGAAGUUAUCUUAUUAUAAAGCAGAAGAGGACGAAGCAAGUGUGGCAGGUAACCAAGGUCGCUCUAGGGCAUAGCACAGAGGAAUCUUGCGGAUUGUGGAUGUAACAACUGUUUCCAUAGAAUGGUGAUUUAAGUAAGAAUGUCCCCAGUAACAACCCUUUCCCAAGAAUGGUGGAGUGUCUCCCCAGUUGGCUCCGGUGUUUGAACACUUGGUUCCUAGCAGGUGGUGCUGUUCGAGGAGGUUCUGGAACCUUUAACAGAUGCAACCUGGCUGGAGGUAGUAUGUCACUGGGGGCGGGCUUUGAGGGCUUAUAGCUUCACCCCACUUCCUGUUUUCUCAGCGUACUAUGUGUGGUCAUGAAAACGUCAUCUCUCUGCUUCCCGUCUGUCGGAUCAGCUUCAUGCUCCUGCCGCUCUUCCUUCCCCGUCAGGAUGGACUGUGUCUCUCUGGAACUGUGGACUACAAUAGACCCUUUCUUCCUAAGAUUUCUUUUUAAAAUCAGGGUGUUUUAUCACAACAACAGAAAGGAAACUCAUAAACCUGGAUAGUUAAUAACACAUUCACACUUGAAGGAUGAAUAGGCACUAUCCAGAGCGCCACGCACUAACACUAUAUCAUUCACUAAACUCAGAAUGGAUGGGCACACACUAAUUUUAACGCCAUCUGAGGGAAACAGACAAGUCUCAUGACUCUUUCUCAAGAGUCUCUCUCAAACAUGACUACUACCAAUAAAACAGUAAUUUAAUUUUUUAUUUUUGUGUGUUGAUGACUGAACCCCAAACCCUCACACAUGAUAGGCAAAUGUUGUACCUCUGAGCUACACUCUGAUCCCAGGACACUUUCUCUUCAAGAGAGGUUGGUCUGUCUCAUACCAGCAUCCUACAUCAAGCAUCCCUUUGUGACAACGAUUGUUUGGGGGCAGCCUCCAUCUUCUUUCCCAAGACCUCAAAGCCUUUGUUAAUAACUAACCAGGGUUAGAGUUGAAUCUGUGUUGCAGGUUUGAAUUUUCCUUUGAAAACUCAUUUCUACAUUGCUUCUCGUGUGAUUGAAAUUUUUUACUUUAUGUGGAUGUUUCACCCCACCUAUUUCAAAUAACUAAACUAUUGUGAUGAGCUAAGUUAAACUUCCACCUGAUAGCUUCCUGUUAUCUCCUGACCAGAACAGUUCGGUCACAUCCAAGUUGGGUAAUAAGCAAGUUUUUUGUUAACAGAAUAUUAUUUAAAUGCAUGAUAAUAGCCUGCUAAUAUUAACAUUGUAGUCUGGGUAACAGCAUCAA